Molecule: ribosomal RNA, 464 nt
Filed under: uncultured bacterium
Lineage: Bacteria
Description: partial 16S ribosomal RNA
Rfam family: Bacterial small subunit ribosomal RNA
Source: RNAcentral
CCUACGGGUGGCAGCAGUGGGGAAUAUUGCGCAAUGGGCGAAAGCCUGACGCAGCGACGCCGCGUGAGGGAUGAAGGUCUUCGGAUCGUAAACCUCUGUCAGCAGGGAAGAACGGUCAAUGUGCUAAUCAGCAGUGAAUUGACGGUACUUGAGGAGGAAGCCCCGGCUAACUCCGUGCCAGCAGCCGCGGUAAUACGUAGGGGGCUAGCGUUAUCCGGAAUUACGGGGCGGAAAGGGUGCGUAGGGGGUUUCUUAGUUCAGAGGGGAAAUGCUACGGCUCAAACGGAGUAAGCCUUUGAAACUGGUGAACUUGAGUGUAGGAGAGGAGAGUGGAAUUCCGAGUGUAGCGGUGAAAUGCGUAGAGAUUAGGAGGAACACCAGUGGCGAAGGCGGCUCUCUGGACUAUAACUGACACUGAGGCACGAAAGCGUGGGGAGCAAACAGGAUUAGAUACCCCAGUAGUC